RNAcentral lists this ribosomal RNA (620 nucleotides) under Alcaligenes phenolicus. RNAcentral describes it as "bacterial SSU rRNA". It matches the Rfam family "Bacterial small subunit ribosomal RNA", at positions 80 to 696 of the family's 1533-position model. The record is from RNAcentral. Lineage: Bacteria; Pseudomonadati; Pseudomonadota; Betaproteobacteria; Burkholderiales; Alcaligenaceae.
CUCUCUUGGCGGCGAGUGGCGGACGGGUGAGUAAUAUAUCGGAACGUGCCCAGUAGCGGGGGAUAACUACUCGAAAGAGUGGCUAAUACCGCAUACGCCCUACGGGGGAAAGGGGGGGAUCGCAAGACCUCUCACUAUUGGAGCGGCCGAUAUCGGAUUAGCUAGUUGGUGGGGUAAAGGCUCACCAAGGCAACGAUCCGUAGCUGGUUUGAGAGGACGACCAGCCACACUGGGACUGAGACACGGCCCAGACUCCUACGGGAGGCAGCAGUGGGGAAUUUUGGACAAUGGGGGAAACCCUGAUCCAGCCAUCCCGCGUGUAUGAUGAAGGCCUUCGGGUUGUAAAGUACUUUUGGCAGAGAAGAAAAGGUAUCCCCUAAUACGGGAUACUGCUGACGGUAUCUGCAGAAUAAGCACCGGCUAACUACGUGCCAGCAGCCGCGGUAAUACGUAGGGUGCAAGCGUUAAUCGGAAUUACUGGGCGUAAAGCGUGUGUAGGCGGUUCGGAAAGAAAGAUGUGAAAUCCCAGGGCUCAACCUUGGAACUGCAUUUUUAACUGCCGAGCUAGAGUAUGUCAGAGGGGGGUAGAAUUCCACGUGUAGCAGUGAAAUGCGUAGAUA